This 428-nucleotide ribosomal RNA is filed under the name Chloroflexota bacterium. RNAcentral's name for it is "Chloroflexi bacterium partial 16S ribosomal RNA". It matches the Rfam family "Bacterial small subunit ribosomal RNA", at positions 355 to 775 of the family's 1533-position model. Lineage: Bacteria; Bacillati; Chloroflexota. The record is from RNAcentral.
UGGGGAAUAUUGCACAAUGGGCGCAAGCCUGAUGCAGCCAUGCCGCGUGUGUGAAGAAGGCCUUCGGGUUGUAAAGCACUUUCAGCGGGGAGGAAGGCGGUGAGGUUAAUAACCUCAUCGAUUGACGUUACCCGCAGAAGAAGCACCGGCUAACUCCGUGCCAGCAGCCGCGGUAAUACGGAGGGUGCAAGCGUUAAUCGGAAUUACUGGGCGUAAAGCGCACGCAGGCGGUCUGUCAAGUCGGAUGUGAAAUCCCCGGGCUCAACCUGGGAACUGCAUUCGAAACUGGCAGGCUAGAGUCUUGUAGAGGGGGGUAGAAUUCCAGGUGUAGCGGUGAAAUGCGUAGAGAUCUGGAGGAAUACCGGUGGCGAAGGCGGCCCCCUGGACAAAGACUGACGCUCAGGUGCGAAAGCGUGGGGAGCAAACAG